ACGAGAUCGUAGGGUAACUUGCGAUCUAGUGGCGGAAGGGUUAGUAAUACAUGAAUAACCUACCUUUAACCUGGGGAUAACGGCUGGAAACGGCCGCUAAUACCGAAUGAGGUGAGCGAAGGGAAUCCUUUGCGCAUCAAAGUAGGGGACCGUGAAAGCGGCCUUGCGGUUGAAGAGGGGUUCAUGGGAUAUCAGCUAGUUGGUAGGGUAAAGGCCUACCAAGG
This 224-nucleotide ribosomal RNA is filed under the name uncultured Chlamydiales CRG14. Its description in RNAcentral is "partial 16S ribosomal RNA". It matches the Rfam family "Bacterial small subunit ribosomal RNA", at positions 66 to 273 of the family's 1533-position model. The record is from RNAcentral. Lineage: Bacteria; Pseudomonadati; Chlamydiota; Chlamydiia; Chlamydiales.